GGCGUAACAGAUCUUUCGGAUGCUGACGAGCGGCGGACGGGUGAGUAAAGUCUAGGGAUCUGCCCAAUAGAGGGGGACAACGCGGGGAAACUCGCGCUAAUACCGCAUACGCCCUAAGGGGGAAAGAUGCUUAAGUGUAUCGCUAUUGGAUGAACCUAGAUCGGAUUAGCUAGUUGGUGGGGUAAAGGCCUACCAAGGCGACGAUCCGUAGCUGGUCUGAGAGGAUGAUCAGCCACACUGGGACUGAGACACGGCCCAGACUCCUACGGGAGGCAGCAGUGGGGAAUAUUGGACAAUGGGGGCAACCCUGAUCCAGCCAUGCCGCGUGUGUGAAGAAGGUCUUCGGAUUGUAAAGCACUUUAAGUUGGGAAGAAGGGCAGAAGUAACGACUCUGUUUUGACAUAACCGACAGAAUAAGCACCGGCUAACUUCGUG
Molecule: ribosomal RNA, 435 nt
Filed under: uncultured bacterium
Lineage: Bacteria
Description: bacterial SSU rRNA
Rfam family: Bacterial small subunit ribosomal RNA
Source: RNAcentral